This is a long non-coding RNA of Aegilops tauschii subsp. strangulata, 320 nucleotides long. RefSeq lists it as uncharacterized. The record is from RefSeq and is a predicted model, not a curated record. NCBI's taxonomy places the organism in Eukaryota, Viridiplantae, Streptophyta, Magnoliopsida, Poales, Poaceae.
UUAUAUAUUGUCCCUUUGCUUUGGUUGGAAUGUAUCCUGCAAGAAUGGACGGAAGGUCUGCCACUGCUUGUUUACUGGUGAUGCUUGUGUUGUUCGGAAGCACUACAUCUGGAGAGAAAUGUGCCGUGGUUCAAUUUUCGCUCGUGAUCUGCAACAAUCUAGCAUGCAAGCAUGAAUGUGAGUUUUGGGGCCAGGGCAAGAAGGUUCGAGGAUUCUGGUGCAAUCGGAUGCUCCGUGGCACCUGCAACUGCAAGAUUUGUUGGGAUGAAUAAACUUAAUUGAUACGCUAAGCACAAUUAAUGUUAUCAUUAUUGAAUUCA